AUUGAACGCUGGCGGCAGGCCUAACACAUGCAAGUCGAGCGAGCGGCGGACGGGUGAGUAAUGUCUGGGAAACUGCCUGAUGGAGGGGGAUAACUACUGGAAACGGUAGCUAAUACCCCGCACCAUAGGAUGAGCCCACGUUGGAUUAGGUAGUUGGUGUGGUAAAGGCUCACCAAGCCGACGAUCUCUAGCUGGUCUGAGAGGAUGACCAGCCACACUGGGACUGAGACACGGCCCAGACUCCUACGUGAGGCAGCAGUGGGGAAUAUUGCGCAAUGUGGGCAACCCGGACGCAGCGAUGCCGCGUGAAUGAAGAAGGCCUUCGGGUUGUAAAGUUCUUUCGGUAGCGAGGCGUUAACUACAGAAGAAGCACCGGCUAACUCCGUGCCGGCAGCCGCGGUAAUAC
Molecule: ribosomal RNA, 406 nt
Filed under: uncultured bacterium
Lineage: Bacteria
Description: partial 16S ribosomal RNA
Rfam family: Bacterial small subunit ribosomal RNA
Source: RNAcentral